Molecule: ribosomal RNA, 545 nt
Filed under: Minichalara microspora
Lineage: Eukaryota; Fungi; Ascomycota; Leotiomycetes; Helotiales; Neolauriomycetaceae
Description: eukaryotic LSU rRNA
Rfam family: Eukaryotic large subunit ribosomal RNA
Source: RNAcentral
ACGGCGAGUGAAGCGGUAACAGCUCAAAUUUGAAAUCUGGCCUCGGUCCGAAUUGUAAUUUGUAGAAGAUGCUUCGGGCGUGGCACCGGUCUAAGUUCCUUGGAACAGGACGUCAUAGAGGGUGAGGAUCCCGUAUGUGACUGGCCGCCUAACCCAUGUGAAGCUCUUUCGACGAGUCGAGUUGUUUGGGAAUGCAGCUCAAAAUGGGUGGUAUAUUUCAUCUAAAGCUAAAUAUUGGCCAGAGACCGAUAGCGCACAAGUAGAGUGAUCGAAAGAUGAAAAGCACUUUGGAAAGAGAGUUAAACAGUACGUGAAAUUGUUGAAAGGGAAGCGCUUGCAACCAGACUUGCGCGUAGUCGAUCAUCCGAUGUUCUCACCGGUGCACUCGACUGCGCUCAGGCCAGCAUCGGUUUGGGUGGUUGGAUAAAGGCCUUGGGAAUGUAGCUCCUUCGGGAGUGUUAUAGCCCUCGGUGCAAUGCAGCCUACCCAGACCGAGGACCGCGCUUCGGCUAGGAUGCUGGCGUAAUGGUUGUAAGCGACCCGUC